CUAACUAAGCUUCCACAAAGAAUCCUUAUUCUGAAACGACUUCACUGAAAUGUACAGAAAAUAUAUAACACAGCAAAACAUUAUGGCGCAUAUGUUCAUGUUGAUUUGUUCACAAAAGUUAAGUAGUACAAAGCAGUAAAGAUACUCAACUUCAAUUUCUCUGAACCCAUGCAACAACCCUGUCAAUACCAGAUAAAAAUGUACAGGAAAAUUACGUUGUAGGAAAAAGAACCAAGAGAGAAAGAAUAGUAGCUUGAUUAUUCAAACCAAGUCGCAGAUCAGCAUGUUCGUAAUAUUAAUGUUAGCUGCAGCUUAAAAAUCAAG
RNAcentral lists this long non-coding RNA (324 nucleotides) under Medicago truncatula (barrel medic). Its description in RNAcentral is "long non-coding RNA (MTRU_LNC007344)". The record is from RNAcentral. Lineage: Eukaryota; Viridiplantae; Streptophyta; Magnoliopsida; Fabales; Fabaceae.